GAGUUUGAUCGUGGCUCAGGACGAACGCUGGCGGCAUGCCUAACACAUGCAAGUCGAACGGAGAUUAUUUCGAUAAUCUUAGUGGCGAACGGGUGAGUAACGCGUGGGCAACCUGCCCUCUAGAUGGGGACAACAUCCCGAAAGGGGUGCUAAUACCGAAUGUGACAGCAAUCUCGCAUGAGGAUGCUGUGAAAGAUGGCCUCUAUUUAUAAGCUAUCGCUAGAGGAUGGGCCUGCGUCUGAUUAGCUAGUUGGUGGGUAACGGCCUACCAAGGCGAUGAUCAGUAGCCGGUCUGAGAGGAUGAACGGCCACAUUGGGACUGAGACACGGCCCAGACUCCUACGGGAGGC
This 350-nucleotide ribosomal RNA is filed under the name uncultured bacterium. RNAcentral describes it as "bacterial SSU rRNA". It matches the Rfam family "Bacterial small subunit ribosomal RNA", at positions 9 to 349 of the family's 1533-position model. The record is from RNAcentral.